UACGUAGGGUGCGAGCGUUGUCCGGAAUUAUUGGGCGUAAAGAGCUUGUAGGCGGUUUGUCGCGUCUGCCGUGAAAUUUCGAGGCUCAACCUCGAACUUGCGGUGGGUACGGGCAGACUAGAGUGUGGUAGGGGAGACUGGAAUUCCUGGUGUAGCGGUGAAAUGCGCAGAUAUCAGGAGGAACACCGGUGGCGAAGGCGGGUCUCUGGGCCGAUGACUGACGCUGAGGAGCGAAAGCGUGGGGAGCGAACAGG
This 254-nucleotide ribosomal RNA is filed under the name uncultured bacterium. RNAcentral's name for it is "partial 16S ribosomal RNA". It matches the Rfam family "Bacterial small subunit ribosomal RNA", at positions 524 to 776 of the family's 1533-position model. The record is from RNAcentral.